AAUUGGCUUGCAUUGCACCUUCCUACCCAAGCAGCUUGGUUUUCUUUCGCUUUGACCCUGUAAUUUCUUUCCCACUUCGUUGUCGUCUCUGAAUUACCUUUCUCUUGAUUCUUGCCCAUUAGCAUCCUCCAAUUUCAGAUGUUUGUAGAUCCCCAAGUGUUCCCAGGGAAAACUACUAGAAAAGGUGAGUUCUCAACACCUGGAAUUUUUUAAAAAAUGAAAAAAUAAAGUUCUAGAAAUCAUAAUAGAAAGACUGACCCAGGGGAGCUACCAGACGCUCCUCAGAUGCUUAGCAAUGAAGAACUAUGGUGUUCAGCUUUGUCAAUUCCUUUCUUGUGAUCUUUAAUGCAUUUAGCUGGACAUCUGUUUUGAGUUUGGUUCCAUAUACUAAGACUUGGAAUAGUAUUUGUAGCAUUGAUUCUCGCCAAGGUAAAAACAGUUGCAUAAAAAUUAUGAGCUACAAAUUUGGUCCUGACAAAUGUAUGCAGUUGACACUUGCCCCAUCAUGUAUAGUCUUAUUGCUGAGAGGAUCUUCCUCAGGUUAUAUCGCGUAUGUAUCAGAAGCAAAUUCAAGGCCCUUUUCUUUGCAAAUAUUUUUUUUUCCCUUAACUUUUAUUUUAGGUUCAGGGGUACAAGUGCAGGUAAGCUCAUGUCGCAGGGGUUUGGUAUAUAACUUAUUUCGUCACCCAGGUACUAAGUGUAGUACCCAAUAGUUAUUUUUUCUGAUCUUCUCCCUCCUCCCACUCUCCUCCUCAAGUAGGCCCCAGUGUCUGUUGUUCCUUCUUUGUGUCCAUUUGUUCUCAUUAUUUAGCUCCCACUUACAACUAAGAACAUGCAGUAUUUGGUUUUCUGUUCCUGCAUUAGUUUGCUAAGGAUAAUGGCCUCCAGCUGCAUUCAUGUCCCUGAGAGGACAUGAUCUCAUUCUUCUGUGGCUGCAUAGUAUUCCAUGGUAUAUGUGUACCACAUUUUCUUUAUCCAGUCCGUUGAUGGGCAUUUAGGUUGAAUCCAUGUCUUUAUCAUGAAUAUCAAUGAACACGCAUGUACAUGUGUUUUUAUGGUAGAACAAUUUCUGUUUCUUUGGGUAUAUACCCAGUAAUGGGAUUGCUAGGGCAAAUGGUAUUAUUUUUCAUUCUACAUUUCUUGGUGAAAACUGGAAGCCAGUGAUCCUAUAAAAGCUCCCAUUUAUUACCAAAAGGUAGCAGUAACUUCCUAAGGAGGUGUUUGAGAGUACGUGUGUCAGAGCCAGAGAGACAGCUUUCAGAGCCUGCUUCCAUCACUUACUAGCUAUGACACAUUGGGCAAACUACUACUUAAUGCCUCUAGGCCCCAGUUUCAUCAUUUGUAGAACAAAGACAACAAUAUUACCUACCUCAAAGUGCUGUUGCAAGGGGUAAAGCAACAAAAAGCAUUAAGAACUUACUGGGAACAUAGAAGACACUAAGAAAUGUUAGCUGUUAUUUCUAUUAAAUGUGUUUGAUAUUGUUUUAUUUUUUAGAAUAAUCAAGGGUCACAGAUAUAAUAGUCGGGUAAUUCAUUCCUGG
Molecule: long non-coding RNA, 1541 nt
Filed under: Homo sapiens (human)
Lineage: Eukaryota; Metazoa; Chordata; Mammalia; Primates; Hominidae
Description: non-protein coding lnc-IKZF2-3:8
Source: RNAcentral